This 162-nucleotide ribosomal RNA is filed under the name Meconopsis racemosa. Its description in RNAcentral is "5.8S ribosomal RNA". It matches the Rfam family "5.8S ribosomal RNA". Rfam says of the family: 5.8S ribosomal RNA (5.8S rRNA) is a component of the large subunit of the eukaryotic ribosome. Lineage: Eukaryota; Viridiplantae; Streptophyta; Magnoliopsida; Ranunculales; Papaveraceae. The record is from RNAcentral.
CGACUCUCGGCAACGGAUAUCUCGGCUCUCGCAUCGAUGAAGAACGUAGCGAAAUGCGAUACUUGGUGUGAAUUGCAGAAUCCCGUGAACCAUCGAGUUUUUGAACGCAAGUUGCGCCUCAAGCCUUCGGGCCGAGGGCACGCUUGCCUGGGCGUCACGCAC